GGCUAUUUUUGUCAUCAGAAAAUAUGUGUUAAUAAACUAGAAAUCUGUUUGAGAAGGUGAACAGCACGGCAUGAUCAUAUCUGAUACUGACAAGUGCAUACGUCACUGCAUAGCACUUACCAGUUACCACUUCUGCUAGCUCCUUCAAUGCCACCAGUUUUGUGAUUCCUUCUCUGGAAUGUAAGUGAAAGGAAACGUGCUGACACUCACCUUGCAAUCAUCAUCAUCAUGAACCUGUUAAUUUAAGUGUCUCUGUUGUUAUGGUUUCAGGUGGAUGUGGCUAAUAUCUGACCAUGGUAAAAUCGUGUGCUGCCAUCUCCUGCACCAAUCGAUUUGUGCGUGGCUGUAAUAUAUCCUUUCAUAAGUUUCCCAAGCAGUCCAAGGACAGCACACUGAGAUCAAUGGAUACAGGCCAUCAGUAGAGAAGCGGUGGGGACCAAGAGGAGAUGGAUCCCGGGGGAUCAUAAUUACGUAUGCAGCAACCAUUUCAGGGAGGAGGACUUCAUCCUCUCAAAACAUGCAAAACACAAGCUUCACAGGCCAGGGACUGUACCAUCCCUCAAUUUGGGGAAACCAGAGAAAAAGAUCGCAGUGAGGACAACCCAAACCAGCCAGGAAGCAGUGGCAUUCGACCAGCACAUCGACAUGGAGUCCUUUACUAAAACAGUUCUAUUUAGAAAUCAGUGACUUCCCAAUAUCCUUAUUAUUUCCAGCAAUGCCUAUAAAUUCCUGUAUUUUGUGCAAAAACUCCUGUAUAUUUUGAAGCCUUUUGACGCACUGAAAAUUAGUAAUUUGUUCACUUUGUGAAAAUUUUGUAGAAAAGUACACUUAUGGUGAGAUUUUUAAAAAGCCAUGCAUUUCAUAUCAUCAAAUUGCUUUUCUCGAAACAAUUUUGGCACGCUAUUUCUGGGAAAAUAGGCUACUUCAUAAGUUUCAAACUGAAACAUUUUGUUUUUGCCCUAAAGCUGGCGUUUAAUAGCAAAUUGUUCAUGGAAUUUUAUUGUGAAAUAUAUAUUUCCUACAAUACUCCUAUAUUUUCUCAAAGAAGACUUUUAUAUUGUCGUAUUUCUCUCUGUCAAGUGCACUUGAUACCCUGUAAAUAUUUUAUUGGAACAUGGAUAUUUGCAACUGAACCUACAAGUGGUGUAGCUAUUGUAAUGCAAUUUAGCAACACAAACCUUUGUCUAGGUGGUGUAUUUUAUAUUUUUUGGUAACAAG
Molecule: long non-coding RNA, 1218 nt
Organism: Acanthochromis polyacanthus (spiny chromis)
Lineage: Eukaryota; Metazoa; Chordata; Actinopteri; Pomacentridae
Exons: 3
Source: RefSeq, a predicted model, not a curated record